Molecule: ribosomal RNA, 497 nt
Filed under: uncultured bacterium
Lineage: Bacteria
Description: partial 16S ribosomal RNA
Rfam family: Bacterial small subunit ribosomal RNA
Source: RNAcentral
GAUGAACGCUGGCUGCGUGCCUAAUACAUGCCAGUCGAGCGAACAGACGAGGAGCUUGCUCCUCUGACGUUAGCGGCGGACGGGUGAGUAACACGUGGAUAACCUACCUAUAAGACUGGGAUAACUUCGGGAAACCGGAGCUAAUACCGGAUAAUAUAUUGAACCGCAUGGUUCAAUAGUGAAAGACGGUUUUGCUGUCACUUAUAGAUGGAUCCGCGCCGCAUUAGCUAGUUGGUAAGGUAACGGCUUACCAAGGCGACGAUGCGUAGCCGACCUGAGAGGGUGAUCGGCCACACUGGAACUGAGACACGGUCCAGACUCCUACGGGAGGCAGCAGUAGGGAAUCUUCCGCAAUGGGCGAAAGCCUGACGGAGCAACGCCGCGUGAGUGAUGAAGGUCUUCGGAUCGUAAAACUCUGUUAUUAGGGAAGAACAAAUGUGUAAGUAACUAUGCACGUCUUGACGGUACCUAAUCAGAAAGCCACGGCUAACUACGUG